GCACCCAGUGAACCGGAGCAGUCUAAAUCGGUUGUAGACAAUUCGCUAGAAUGGCAAACUAUUCAAUUCAUCAGGAAGAAGAAGCCGACGACACCCCCGCCUCACACAAACACCAAAGACCCGCCCAUCGUCAAGGUUAAAACCUUUGAUGCGGCGAUAGGUAAGUUUCUAAACCCUACUCAUCCCAUGGCGGCGCCAAAGAAGUCUCUCCCCUAUCCUCUGAGACUUCCCAGAUUGGGCCAGCCAGUGC
This 250-nucleotide long non-coding RNA is filed under the name Capsicum annuum. RNAcentral describes it as "long non-coding RNA (CANN_LNC001893)". Lineage: Eukaryota; Viridiplantae; Streptophyta; Magnoliopsida; Solanales; Solanaceae. The record is from RNAcentral.